AUGCCACCAGACCUGGAAAUAGAGUUAAGCAUUGAACUAGCACCUGGCACCACCCCCAUUUACAAGAAACCUUAUAGAAUGGCACCCUCCGAGUUAGUAGAAUUAAAGAAGCAAAUAAAAGAAUUACUGGACAAAGGAUUUAUACCAGCCAGCUCCUCACCUUGGGGUUCACCAGUAUUAUUUGCCAAGAAAAAGGAUGGGAGACUGAGAUUGUGUAUAGACUAUCGAGCACUCAACAUGGUCACCAUCAAAAACAAAUAUCCGAUGCCCCAGAUAAAUGAUUUAUUUGACCAGCUCGCACAAGCCAAGGUGUUCUCAAAAAUUGAUUUAAGAUCGGGAUAUCAUCAAUUAAAGGUACGGACAGAAGAUAUCCCUAAGACAGCAUUCACCUCCAGAUACGGAUUAUAUGAGUUCACAGUAAUGCCGUUUGGACUGACGAACGCCCCCGCAUAUUUUGACCACCUCAUG
This 468-nucleotide ribosomal RNA is filed under the name Triticum aestivum (bread wheat). RNAcentral's name for it is "partial small subunit ribosomal RNA". The record is from RNAcentral. Lineage: Eukaryota; Viridiplantae; Streptophyta; Magnoliopsida; Poales; Poaceae.